UACGUAGGUGGCAAGCGUUGUCCGGAAUUAUUGGGCGUAAAGCGCACGCAGGUGGUUUCUUAAGUCUGAUGUGAAAGCCCACGGCUCAACCGUGGAGGGUCAUUGGAAACUGGGGAACUUGAGUGCAGGAGAGAAGAGUGGAAUUCCACGUGUAGCGGUGAAAUGCGUAGAGAUGUGGAGGAACACCAGUGGCGAAGGCAGCCCCCUGGGCCAAUACUGACGCUCAGGCACGAAAGCGUGGGGAGCAAACAGG
RNAcentral lists this ribosomal RNA (253 nucleotides) under uncultured bacterium. RNAcentral describes it as "partial 16S ribosomal RNA". It matches the Rfam family "Bacterial small subunit ribosomal RNA", at positions 524 to 776 of the family's 1533-position model. The record is from RNAcentral.